GGGUCGUUAGCUCAGCUGGUAGAGCAGCGGACUUUUAAUCCGUUGGUCACAGGUUCGAAUCCCGUACGGCCUACCA
This 76-nucleotide transfer RNA is filed under the name Burkholderia gladioli. Its description in RNAcentral is "tRNA-Lys". It matches the Rfam family "tRNA". From Rfam's summary of the family: Transfer RNA (tRNA) molecules are approximately 80 nucleotides in length. Their secondary structure includes four short double-helical elements and three loops (D, anti-codon, and T loops). Lineage: Bacteria; Pseudomonadati; Pseudomonadota; Betaproteobacteria; Burkholderiales; Burkholderiaceae. RNAcentral also lists the same sequence under 329 other names. The record is from RNAcentral.